Molecule: long non-coding RNA, 1234 nt
Organism: Odontomachus brunneus
Lineage: Eukaryota; Metazoa; Arthropoda; Insecta; Hymenoptera; Formicidae
Exons: 3
Source: RefSeq, a predicted model, not a curated record
CCACUUGAACGCCGACAGCUCUAUCACGUUUGUCCCGUCCAAUCUGCGUGAGCGAUGUCUUGCUUUGUCGUACGUUUCUUCACAUGAUUGGCCGAGCUUUCCUCUAUCCCCACUGCACUGUUCCUUUAUCCUCACUACCGGCUUUGUACAGUCCGAAUCCAUUUCCCUAUUUCUUAGUACCUGCACAUGACCGAAUGUGCGCCGACCACGAGCAGCGUUUCUCGUGCCAACCAUUGUCGCGUCGUCAAAAUUAAUAGGGUUUUUGCAAUAACGUUUUAGAUACGGUGAAAGUUAAAGUCACGUUAUUAGGUCGAAAGACAGAAAUGCACAUGCGCAUCGUUCACCGUAACGCUAAGCAGAUAACGUGCUUAAUUCGUAAUUUUUUAAAGAAUAUGGUUCACGACGAUUAGCGUCGACAUUAUCAGGGAGUUUUUGCAAUGCGGUGACAUGCACAGGCUUCCUUGAAAUCUACUGGAGGCUAUUUCGAAUAUUUGCUAUGUCCAGUGUAUAUCCGUGGCAAAACCGAGGAAAUAAAUAAACAAUUGAAACUCCUAUGCGAUUUGAUGUGAUAAUUUCUUUAGACAUUGCAGAAAAACUUCGAACCGUUACCGUCGUAACUCCAGAAACAAGCAUUUCCGACCCCAUGUUCAUGAGACAUUUUCUACUUAUUUAGGUAACUUAUUCCCAAAGUUUGUACAGGCCAUUCAGAUACACCUUGUAUAUUUAACACAACGGUCCAUACAUACUUAUAUAUGCUAUAGUUAAAAUUUUCGCGCCAGAUAUCGGAACUUUUUUAUUUAAACAAUUCUUUUCACGAAAAAAGGAAGAGAUAGAAGGAAGAAUUAAACUGUCAACCCAAAUAUCGCAUUUCAUUAUUAAUGUAAUUAACAAAUUCACCGUUAAUCGAAAAAUUAUGAUUGGAACAAAUCAUAUGUAACGAUGGAUGUUGUCACAUGAUAUACUAGCCACUGAGAGCUCGCUUGCCGAGGAUUAACGAUACAGAAAGAAUCGCGGCGACAAUCCUUGUAAAAUGCUUCGUAAUUGAUUACUGUGCCAUUUUGAAAGCUGUGAUAUGUGUAACUAAUAUAUGUGAGAUUAGCAAUUAUUAAAAUGCAUAUGUUUAUGAAAAUCUUAGAUGAAACCCAACUGUAUUUCUUGUAAAAUUUUGAUGUUUUAUUUUGCUGUCAUUUAAUGAGCGAUCUACAAUUAAAUUCUCCACUUGAUACAAUAUAAG